UUGCUGAACAAUUUUCUGUGAAUUAAAAAGGGUACUACAGUAAUCUUGAAAAUUGGUAAUCAAUGCGCAUCAAACCAAUCCCAACUUUUUCGCCUUUCCUUUUCCAAUUCAUUGAAUAGUUUUGGGUAUCUUUUGGACUUCACCAAACGGCGGUAGAACGCAAUAGAGUAGGGAUUUUAUUUCUCUCAAAUGGCCGCGAAACCAAUUUUUUGCCGUUGAAAGUCAUCUUCUUCCUCUCGAUUUCUGCAAAAGAUCAUAUCAUUGGAGUGGAUCCCAAGUUGCACACAAUAAGAACAAUGGAUUUGAUUUUUGCUAGUAGUUCGACACAUAUGAAAGACACGGGCGUAUCACAAUCUGCCCUCAAAGAUCUAAUCUUUGAAUCAUGCUGAAGGGCAGAGAAUCAAAGGUAUGUGACCCGGAGAAAUCCACUGUUGCCGAGGAAGGAGACGGGUUACAGUAUACUUAUGUUAGGAAAAGUAAACGACUUAAUCCGUAGUUCAAUGUGGUUGUAAUAACUAUAUGAAACAUGUGUUUGGAUAGCAACAAAAGUUUAAUAACAGUAGACGUUUGGCGUUACGCGUACUAGACCCAAAUGUAUGUAUAUGCACCUUUUGACUAUUUUGGCUAGUCUAUAUUAUCUGUGGUGAUAUAUAAUAUUGUGCUCUCGUAUUGAAUUGAA
Long non-coding RNA from Salvia miltiorrhiza (redroot sage), 679 nucleotides. RefSeq lists it as uncharacterized. The transcript is spliced from 3 exons. NCBI's taxonomy places the organism in Eukaryota, Viridiplantae, Streptophyta, Magnoliopsida, Lamiales, Lamiaceae. The record is from RefSeq and is a predicted model, not a curated record.